This 701-nucleotide ribosomal RNA is filed under the name uncultured archaeon. Its description in RNAcentral is "bacterial SSU rRNA". It matches the Rfam family "Archaeal small subunit ribosomal RNA", at positions 1 to 697 of the family's 1478-position model. The record is from RNAcentral.
RRNAGGUUGAUUCUGCCAGAAGUCACUGCUAUUGGGGUUCGGCUAAGCCAUGCUAGUGGAGGGUGCGAUCGAAAGACCGUGCCCCGCUCAAGGCUCAGUAACACGUAGUUAACCUACCCUCGAGUUGGGAAUAACCACGGAAAACUGUGGAUAAUCCCCAAUAGGUGAUGAGUCUGGAAUGUUCAUCACCCAAAGCUCAGGCGCUCGAGGAUGGGACUGCGGCCUAUCAGGCAGUUGGUGGUGUAACGGACCACCAAACCUACGACGGGUACGGGCGAUGGGAGUCGGAGCCCGGAGAUGGGGACUGAGACAAGGCCCUAGGUCCUACGGGAUGCAGCAGGCGCGAAAACUCCGCAAUGCGCGCAAGCGUGACGGGGGAACCCCAAGUGCCGGUGGUCUUUGAUCGUCGGCUUUUCAGGAGUGCAAGAAGCUCUUGGAAUAAGGGCUGGGUAAGACUGGUGCCAGCCGCCGCGGUAAUACCAGCAGCCCGAGUGGUGGCCGGGUUUAUUGGGCCUAAAGAGCCCGUAGCUGGAUCGAUAAGUCCUUCGUGAAAUCGGACGGCUCAACCGUUCGGCCUGCAAGGGAUACUAUCGUUCUAGAGGCCGGGAAAGGUCGGAAGUACUCCGGGGGUAGUAGUGAAAUGCUGUAAUCCUCGGAGGACUACCAGUGGCGAAGGCGUCCGACUGGAACGGACCUGACGG